This 262-nucleotide long non-coding RNA is filed under the name Gallus gallus (chicken). The record is from RNAcentral. Lineage: Eukaryota; Metazoa; Chordata; Aves; Galliformes; Phasianidae.
CUCUGGGAAGCUAUCCACAGCCACUGAAGAUCCAGUAUUCUCUGGAGACCGAUCCUCAUUGCCACUGCGUGCAUUAAGGGACCCUGAUGAACUGGAACGGCUCCCCAUGCUGCUGACUUCUUUGUCAUAAUUACCGUUUUCAAUCUGAUCCAAUUUCCUCCGUGCUAGUUGAAGCUGUUUUGAGAGAUCUUUCAGGUUUGCUGCAUGCUUGCGCUUCUGUGUAGUCAGUUCAUCUUUCAGUUCAUCCACGUGGGUCUUCAGC